This 460-nucleotide ribosomal RNA is filed under the name uncultured bacterium. Its description in RNAcentral is "partial 16S ribosomal RNA". It matches the Rfam family "Bacterial small subunit ribosomal RNA", at positions 338 to 795 of the family's 1533-position model. The record is from RNAcentral.
CCUACGGGGCGCUGCAGUGAGGAAUAUUGGUCAAUGGGCGGAAGCCUGAACCAGCCAAGUAGCGUGCAGGAUGACGGCCCUACGGGUUGUAAACUGCUUUUAUACGGGAAUAACGCGCCUUACGUGUAGGGCUUUGCAUGUACCGUAUGAAUAAGGACCGGCUACUUCCGUGCCAGCAGCCGCGGUAAUAAGGAAGGUCCGGGCGUUAUCCGGAGUUUAUGGGGUUAAAGGGAGCGUAGGCGGCAUGUCAAGCGUGCUGUGAAAUGUCCGGGCUCAACCCGGGCCUUGCAGCGCGAACUGGCGUGCUUGAGUCCGCGGAAAGCAGGCGGAAUUCGUCGUGUAGCGGUGAAAUGCUUAGAUAUGACGAAGAACCCCGAUUGCGAAGGCAGCUUGCUGCAGCGGAACUGACGCUGAUGCUCGAAAGCGCGGGUAUCGAACAGGAUUAGAUACCCCAGUAGUC